Long non-coding RNA from Pyrus x bretschneideri (Chinese white pear), 1109 nucleotides. RefSeq lists it as uncharacterized. NCBI's taxonomy places the organism in Eukaryota, Viridiplantae, Streptophyta, Magnoliopsida, Rosales, Rosaceae. The record is from RefSeq and is a predicted model, not a curated record. The transcript is spliced from 4 exons.
AUAUUUCUAGCGGUCAAGCAAAUCCUUCCAACGCAAUUGAGAAGACUAUUAAACCUAGUGCUCAGACAUGUGUAAAUCCUAAAUCUAUGCUUUCAAGCCUGGAGUCUAUGAGGAACACAAAGAUCAUUACAGCUGAAGGGAGUAAACUUUCUCCUGACAAACCUGCCCAGAAGAAAACCGACCUUUCUACCUUGAACAUUUCAAAGAAUAUUGGUGGCAGUAAAGUUUCAUGGAAUGCUUCCCUGAGGAGUCCACAGCAAAACAUGGAAGUGCAACGAAAUGUGGAAUCAAAGACUGCCCAGAUUGUUGAUCGCAGUGAGAAACAAAAGCCACCAAACUUUUCCUUGAAGCGAAAACAUUUGAGGGAUCUGCUUCAGGUUUAGCAUCCUUAAAGCCUCUAAAGCGCCUUUCAUAGUCACCUAAAGAAUCCAGGUCCUCUUUUGCUAGCAGAUAUGUGUUUAACUUAUUGUUCUGAAUCUUUUUCCAGCCUAUUACUAUUUACGUGUUCUAAAGUGGUUUACUGGAAAUCUGCUGACAUCUCACAUUCUUUUUCCAAUAAUACGUGCAGAAACUUCAAAGAACCUUCAAAAGAAGUGGUUGCAGAACAGGUUCUCAACUAACUCUAUAGUAUUAAUGAUUUAUAAUGACUGCUAAGUGUAUCUAUGAAGUGAAUUAUAGGUGGAAGCCUGUACUAGAUAAACUUACUAAAAUAUUCUUUACGUUUGCGCUAGGUUUGCAUUCAUGCGAGUGAUGUGGAGAGCAAGACUAACAGCACUUUUGAUGACCAUCGAACCUCUGAACUCGGUAGUCCUUGUGGGAUCAUUGUGAUGGAACUUGAUAUUCCUUCAGUAAUGGAAAAUGAUGGAAAUGUUGAAAAGGCUGAAGCGUACGCUACGGAGCUUGAAGAUAUAUGCAACGUGCUGAGAAAGAAACACGAGGAAGCCAAGGAAUUGCUAGUUAGAGCUAUUGUGAACAACAAUAAUCUACUGAUGCUUAACCAUCCCAUUUACGAAGCAAAGAUAUCCUUCAGACUGUUUUAGAUGUUAAUUUCCUGUUUUUCUGUCCACCGUUUUGAUCAUUGAGAUAAAGUUGCAUUUUCCUUAAUAAUU